RNAcentral lists this ribosomal RNA (699 nucleotides) under Mucor circinelloides. Its description in RNAcentral is "partial 28S ribosomal RNA". It matches the Rfam family "Eukaryotic large subunit ribosomal RNA", at positions 42 to 648 of the family's 3401-position model. Lineage: Eukaryota; Fungi; Mucoromycota; Mucoromycetes; Mucorales; Mucoraceae. The record is from RNAcentral.
AUCAAUAAGCGGAGGAAAAGAAAAUAACAAUGAUUUCCCUAGUAACGGCGAGUGAAGAGGAAAGAGCUCAAAGUUGGAAACUGUUUGGCUUAGCUAAACCGUAUUGUAAACUGUAGAAACAUUUUCCUGGCACGCCGGAUUAAUAAGUCCUUUGGAACAAGGCAUCAUGGAGGGUGAGAAUCCCGUCUUUGAUCCGAGUAGUUGUCUUUUGUGAUAUGUUUUCAAAGAGUCAGGUUGUUUGGGAAUGCAGCCUAAAUUGGGUGGUAAAUCUCACCUAAAGCUAAAUAUUUGCGAGAGACCGAUAGCGAACAAGUACCGUGAGGGAAAGAUGAAAAGAACUUUGAAAAGAGAGUUAAACAGUAUGUGAAAUUGUUAAAAGGGAACCGUUUGGAGCCAGACUGGUUUGACUGUAAUCAACCUAGAAUUCGUUCUGGGUGCACUUGCAGUCUAUACCUGCCAACAACAGUUUGAUUUGGAGGAAAAAAUUAGCAGGAAUGUAGCCUCUCGAGGUGUUAUAGCCUGCUAUCAUACUCUGGAUUGGACUGAGGAACGCAGCGAAUGCCUUUAGGCGAGAUUGCUGGGUGCUUUCGCUAAUAAAUGUUAGAAUUUCUGCUUCGGGUGGUGCUAAUGUUUAAAGGAGGAACACAUCUAGUAUAUUUUUUAUUCGCUUAGGUUGUUGGCUUAAUGACUCUAAAUGAC